GCCGAGGUGGCGGAACAGGUAGACGCGCUGCGUUCAGGGCGCAGUGGGGGCAACCCCGUAAGGGUUCGAGUCCCUUUCUCGGCA
RNAcentral lists this transfer RNA (84 nucleotides) under Chloroflexi bacterium B3_Chlor. RNAcentral describes it as "tRNA-Leu". It matches the Rfam family "tRNA". From Rfam's summary of the family: Transfer RNA (tRNA) molecules are approximately 80 nucleotides in length. Their secondary structure includes four short double-helical elements and three loops (D, anti-codon, and T loops). The record is from RNAcentral. Lineage: Bacteria; Bacillati; Chloroflexota. RNAcentral also lists the same sequence under 2 other names.